CAGAGGGGAGGAACCUGCGUGAGGGGCCUACAGAGACCCAAAGGCGGGGGGCGGGCAAGUUAAAAAGCCGGGCUGAUGAGACGGACGCUUUAACCUCGUCCUUUUGGGAAAUCCUCCUCGCCAAACUGCGCCCGCCAACAAAGCGAUUCCGGCUUAUGAAGGGUGUCUGACAUUGAGUUCUACUGUCUGUCUCUCCCCCUCACCCCCUAGCCUUACCUGAGGACUGACAGAAAAGGUGACUUGUGCAGGGCCCUGAAGCCAGUAGGCCUUAGAGGCACGACUUGAACCCAGACCUCUGUGAUAUUUUAUCCAUGUCAUGUUGCUUCUUAGUGUAAACUGAGACACGCACCGUAAGGAAUCUGGUUCUCUCUUUCCCCAAAGGGACGAUGUCCGGGGGGCCGCAAAGGCCAGCCCGGUGAGAACGAAAUACGUCUCUUCCGCAGAGGGGAAGAAGACCGUGGGGAGAAGGUGCCUGUGAAAUCAAAGGAAGGAGCGGGGAGAGGCAGUAGCUACAGUGUGGGCUAUACUGGUAAUAGCCUUGGGCCCUGGGGCAACCCAGAAAGCCUAGAAGUAUCGCCCAGGUUCGACACAUCCUGCUCACUGCUCCCCCCACCCCCAACUCCAGUAGCCUUGGGGAGAGAGAAAAGUGACCUCAUCAAGGCAGUACGAGGUAAAAAGCCAAUCUUCAAAGUUGGGUCUGUCCCAGUUGAACAGUAAACAGAGUUCAAACAACUUUCAGAUGACAUUCAAGAAUUGUAACAAACACUGAAUGGUUUUCUUCAAAAAUAAAAUGACCAUAUUGUUAUCAAAACCUGAAAACCUUUUCAGAAUUUAUAAACUUGGGGCUUAUGGAACUUAUGGGAUGUGUUUUCAUUUGUUCAAAUAAAUAGCCCUGGAAUAUUCUACUGUCAGUGAACAGAGUAGAAAGCUCCAACUCUUGACAAGCUUUAUCAGAAUCUGGGAUAGGGUUGGCAAGAGUCCCCUUUGAAACUGAAGCUGACACAGAUCAUUCUAAAAAGGGAGAUUAUCUAAACAGAGAAGCAAUUAACCCUAAGGACUGAUGUCAUUUUGAUUUGGGAAUAAGGUUAGAAUAUUUCCAAAUUGCAUCAAAGAAAGUGUGCCUCCAAGAUCAUCAAAAGUUUUUUCUCAAGCAACCAUAGGCAAGUAACAUUAUAAAAUAUAACAUGUUAAAAAUGGUGUCUUAACACAGAGUCAUGUGAUUUGGGGUACAUGAUGUCUACAUUCUGGACCUCAGUUUCCUUGUAAUAAAAUGAGUGUAAAA
Phascolarctos cinereus (koala) is the source of this 1282-nucleotide long non-coding RNA. RefSeq lists it as uncharacterized. NCBI's taxonomy places the organism in Eukaryota, Metazoa, Chordata, Mammalia, Diprotodontia, Phascolarctidae. The record is from RefSeq and is a predicted model, not a curated record.